AUACCAUGAUGUGGGCAUUUCCUUAGCAACUUCUUAAAUCUUUCUCAUGCGUCAUACAAUGAUUCCCCUUCUGUCUGGUAGAAAUUAUUAGUUUCCCCUCUCGACUUU
Small nucleolar RNA from Humulus lupulus (European hop), 108 nucleotides. Lineage: Eukaryota; Viridiplantae; Streptophyta; Magnoliopsida; Rosales; Cannabaceae. The record is from RefSeq and is a predicted model, not a curated record.